GACGAACGCUGGCGGCGUGCUUAACACAUGCAAGUCGAACGCUGAAGCUCAGCUUUUGUUGGGUGGAUGAGUGGCGAACGGGUGAGUAACACGUGAGUAACCUGCCUCCUUCUUUGGGAUAACGCCCGGAAACGGGUGCUAAUACUGGAUAUUCACUGGUCUUCGCAUGGGGGUUGGUGGAAAGGGUUUUUCUGGUGGGGGAUGGGCUCGCGGCCUAUCAGCUUGUUGGUGGGGUGAUGGCCUACCAAGGCUUAGACGGGUAGCCGGCCUGAGAGGGUGACCGGUCACAUUGGGACUGAGAUACGGCCCAGACUCCUACGGGAGGCAGCAGUGGGGAAUAUUGCACAAUGGGCGCAAGCCUGAUGCAGCGACGCCGCGUGAGGGAUGGAGGCCUUCGGGUUGUGAACCUCUUUCGCUCAUGGUCAAGCCGCAACAAUGGUUGUGGUGAGGGUAGUGGGUAAAGAAGCGCCGGCUAACUACGUG
RNAcentral lists this ribosomal RNA (483 nucleotides) under uncultured bacterium. Its description in RNAcentral is "partial 16S ribosomal RNA". It matches the Rfam family "Bacterial small subunit ribosomal RNA", at positions 28 to 507 of the family's 1533-position model. The record is from RNAcentral.